This 253-nucleotide ribosomal RNA is filed under the name uncultured bacterium. RNAcentral's name for it is "partial 16S ribosomal RNA". It matches the Rfam family "Bacterial small subunit ribosomal RNA", at positions 524 to 776 of the family's 1533-position model. The record is from RNAcentral.
UACGAAGGGGGCUAGCGUUGUUCGGAAUUACUGGGCGUAAAGGGCGCGUAGGCGGUGUGUCAAGUCAGGCGUGAAAGCCCCGGGCUCAACCUGGGAACAGCGCUUGAGACUGGCACGCUCGAGUUCGGGAGAGGAUGGUGGAAUUCCCAGUGUAGCGGUGAAAUGCGUAGAGAUGGGGGAGAACACUCGUGGCGAAGGCGGCCAGCUAGACCAGUUCUGACACUGAGGCGCGACAGCGUGGGGAGCAAACAGG